This 254-nucleotide ribosomal RNA is filed under the name uncultured bacterium. RNAcentral's name for it is "partial 16S ribosomal RNA". It matches the Rfam family "Bacterial small subunit ribosomal RNA", at positions 524 to 776 of the family's 1533-position model. The record is from RNAcentral.
UACGGGGGGAGCAAGCGUUGUUCGGAUUUACUGGGCGUAAAGGGCGGGUAGGCGGCCACCGCAAGUCGACUGUGAAAUCUCCGGGCUUAACCCGGAAAGGUCAGCCGAUACUGCGGGGCUAGAGUGCAGAAGGGGCAACUGGAAUUCUCGGUGUAGCGGUGAAAUGCGUAGAUAUCGAGAGGAACACCUGCGGCGAAGGCGGGUUGCUGGGCUGACACUGACGCUGAACUGCGAAAGCUAGGGGAGCGAACGGG